CGUUGCAUGAGGGAAGGACUGGAGGAACACGUCAGGGUGCCCGCCCCCCAAAACCCAUCACACCCCAUGGUGUAUGGUCAUGAGAGCCGCAGCUGAGCCCUGGGCAUGGUGCUAAGUCCCCCCUGCAUCGCCUCAUCAGACAUCUGCCAGCACAGAGGGGGCGCGAGCUGCACCACGCGUGAGCAGCAGCUGGAAAGAAUCAGGGAUGCCCCCGCGAACAUCUGGGGAGAGACCCCAGGCAGGUGCAAGCACGCUGUGUCCACCAGACCCCCAACGCCUAGGAAAUGUCUCCAGAUGCACCAAUCUCUCAAAAUACCGUCCGUGAAUGAUUGAAUAAACAAAUGAGCACACCA
Molecule: long non-coding RNA, 353 nt
Organism: Suricata suricatta (meerkat)
Lineage: Eukaryota; Metazoa; Chordata; Mammalia; Carnivora; Herpestidae
Exons: 2
Source: RefSeq, a predicted model, not a curated record